RNAcentral lists this unclassified non-coding RNA (891 nucleotides) under Hevea brasiliensis (rubber tree). The record is from RNAcentral. Lineage: Eukaryota; Viridiplantae; Streptophyta; Magnoliopsida; Malpighiales; Euphorbiaceae.
AAGCCACUGCUGCAGCGUGACUCUGCUCUAGCACCUCACCAAGCAGAAAGCUAGAGAGCUAGCAAUGGCGCCCACCGUGAUGGCCUCGUCGGCCACCUCCGUUGCUCCCUUCCAGGGGCUCAAAUCCACCGCCGGGCUCCCCGUCAGCCGCCGCUCCAACAGCGCCGGCCUCGGCAGCGUCAGCAACGGUGGAAGGAUCAGCUGUAUGCAGGUGUGGCCGAUUGAAGGCAUCAAGAAGUUUGAGACCCUGUCGUACCUGCCACCGCUCACGGUCGAGGACCUCUUGAAGCAGAUCGAGUACCUGCUCCGGUCCAAAUGGGUGCCUUGCCUCGAGUUUAGUAAGGUCGGGUUCGUCUACCGUGAGAACCACAGGUCUCCUGGGUACUAUGAUGGCAGGUACUGGACCAUGUGGAAGCUGCCUAUGUUCGGAUGCACUGAUGCCACCCAGGUGCUCAAGGAGCUCGAGGAGGCCAAGAAGGCAUAUCCAGAUGCAUUUGUUCGCAUCAUCGGCUUCGACAACGUCAGGCAGGUGCAGUUGAUUAGCUUCAUCGCCUACAAGCCCCCGGGUUGCGAGGAGUCCGGCGGAAACUAAGCUAGUUGGCAAGCCAGCAAGCUCACUCGUGAGCUCUAUACAGAGGAGACUCGAUUGAUCUAUUCGGUUUUGGCAGCUUUGAACGUUCGAAUCGGGCCACCUUGCAUUGGUUUCCCCUUUCCCAGUUUGUUGCUUCAGUUUUUUUUUUUCAUCUUGUUUGUGUCAACAUCAGCUGUGUAUGUAUGUACAUAUGUAUGUAUCAACAUAGGUUGAAGAGCAUGCAUAUGUGAAUGCUAGCACCAGGCUAAUCAUAUGCACAUACACAUCGUAAUAAAUAUAUUGUACAAAUCGUCAAAAAC